This 468-nucleotide ribosomal RNA is filed under the name uncultured bacterium. Its description in RNAcentral is "partial 16S ribosomal RNA". It matches the Rfam family "Bacterial small subunit ribosomal RNA", at positions 28 to 507 of the family's 1533-position model. The record is from RNAcentral.
GACGAACGCUGGCGGCGUGCUUAACACAUGCAAGUCGAACGGAAAGGCCCUGCUUUUGUGGGGUGCUCGAGUGGCGAACGGGUGAGUAACACGUGAGUAACCUGCCCUUGACUUUGGGAUAACUUCAGGAAACUGGGUCUAAUACCGGAUAGGAGCUCCUGCUGCAUGGUGGGGGUUGGAAAGUUUCGGCGGUUGGGGAUGGACUCGCGGCUUAUCAGCUUGUUGGUGGGGUAGUGGCUUACCAAGGCUUUGACGGGUAGCCGGCCUGAGAGGGUGACCGGCAACAUGGGGACUGAGAUACGGCCCAGACUCCUACGGGAGGCAGCAGGGGGGAAUAUUGCACAAGGGGCGGAAGCCUGAUGCAGCAACGCCGCGUGCGGGAUGACGGCCUUCGGGUUGUAAACCGCUUUCGCCUGUGACGAAGCGUGAGUGACGGUAAUGGGUAAAGAAGCACCGGCUAACUACGUG